This 468-nucleotide ribosomal RNA is filed under the name uncultured bacterium. RNAcentral describes it as "partial 16S ribosomal RNA". It matches the Rfam family "Bacterial small subunit ribosomal RNA", at positions 28 to 507 of the family's 1533-position model. The record is from RNAcentral.
GACGAACGCUGGCGGCGUGCUUAACACAUGCAAGUCGAACGGAAAGGCCCUGCUUUUGUGGGGUGCUCGAGUGGCGAACGGGUGAGUAACACGUGAGUAACCUGCCCUUGACUUUGGGAUAACUUCUGGAAACUGGGGCUAAUAUCGGAUAGGAGCUCCUGCUGCAUGGUGGGGGUUGGAAAGUUUCGGCGGUUGGGGAUGGACUCGCGGCUUAUGAGCUUGUUGGUGGGGUAGUGGCUUACCAAGGUUUUGACGGGUAGCCGGCCUUAGAGGGUGACCGGCCACAAUGGGACUGAGAGACGGCGCAGACUGCUACGGGAGGCAGCAGUGGGGAAUAUUGCACAAUGGGCGGAAGCCUGAUGCAGCAACGCCGCGUGCGGGAUGACGGCUUUCGGGUUGUAAACCGCUUUCGACUGUGACGAAGCGUGAGUGACGGUAAUGGGUAAAGAAGCACCGGCUAACUACGUG